UACGUAGGUGGCAAGCGUUGUCCGGAUUUACUGGGCGUAAAGAGCGCGCAGGCGGUCGUUCAAGUCGCGUGUGAAUGCCCCCGGCUCAACUGGGGAGGGUCACGCGAUACUGAUCGACUCGAAGGCAGGAGAGGGUAGUGGAAUUCCCGGUGUAGUGGUGAAAUGCGUAGAUAUCGGGAGGAACACCAGUGGCGAAGGCGACUACCUGGCCUGUUCUUGACGCUGAGGCGCGAAAGCUAGGGGAGCAAACGGG
Molecule: ribosomal RNA, 253 nt
Filed under: uncultured bacterium
Lineage: Bacteria
Description: partial 16S ribosomal RNA
Rfam family: Bacterial small subunit ribosomal RNA
Source: RNAcentral